CUGUUCAGAUUUAUGUGAUUGGUUAAUUUUUGAAACAAAUAUUUUGUUAAUGCACAUUUUUGUUUAUAUGGAUAUUGAAAGUGGUGGCAAGGCAGUUGGCAGACUGCUGUUUGAGGUAAGGAGAUCUUCUGUCUCUAGAUUAGGUGAUCUACUGUGGAUAAAUGAAUAUUAUUUAUUACAUUAUUUUCUACUGUCAAGAGCUUUUUAAUGUCAAAUUUGUGUCAGGCCCUGUGCACUGGAGAGGCAGACUUGUCCAAGGGUAAUCUUAAUUUGAGCUAUAAGGGUUUGAUUUUCCACAGAGUUGUAUCAAAUGGCUGGGUACAGGGUGGAGGUAAGAGGCUGUAUCACAUUUAAUACAUGUAAUACAACACAAUACAAUACAACUUUAUUGUAGCUGAAAUUGGUCUUAGACCACACCUGCAACAUUUAAAACAAACAGUAAAGACAGAUACAUUGGAAUUAAUAAAAGUGUCAGUCACCUGAGGUAACAAUGCCAUUAAAAAUAACAAAAAACAACAACAUUUCAUACCAGUAAAUCUUGUGACUUUAUACAGUAUACUUAAUCGCUUUAACGGUUUCUGUUACAGAUAUAUCACCUGGAAAUAAAGGCAUUGGGGGAGAAUCUAUCAAUGGCCCAACAUUUGAGGAUGAGAAUUUUUGUAUCCCACAACAAGCGUGGUGUCCUGGGAAUGGCUAACAAAGGUCCUCAUAGCAACGGCUCUCAGUUCUACAUUACACUACAGCCAGCCUCAUGGAUGGACCACAAAUAUGUGGCUUUUGGACAACUUGUUGAAGGCGCAGAGGUUCUAAGGAGAUAGAGGAAGUGCCCACCUUCAAUGAGAGGCCCAAACAGGACUGCAAAAUAAUAGCAUGUGGUGUGUUCGAGCCCUGAGUUAUCACAUAUUUGAAGCUUAAACAAUGCAAAAGAAGGAUUUGUAACAUGACUACUUGUAAUAUAUGAAAUGGCUUUGUGCUUGUCUUUGUGAAGUGCACCACGUUUGUUAAAUGGCCCACACAAUAUUUUGCGGUGCACAUAAAAAUAAAAAGACUUAUUAAAAAAAGACAAAUUAAAAACCUCUCUUUAAACUAUUUAAUUUUUUUAGAUGAGUUAAAUUUACUUUUAAUAAAUACAUUCUUCCAAAGCAGCUUUACAGAGAAAUGCCUCAAAAAUAGAGGUCGCCCGAUAGUCGAUUUUGCCGAUACCGAUAACUAAGGUGGUGUAAAAGGCCGAUAACCCAUUAAGCGGCCAAUAGGUUUUUUUUAAAUCAAUUUAUAGAAUGAUAAAAAAAAUUAUUACUCUUUCCUUACUAUUAAAGCCCAAAGUAUACUUUGGUCAGCCGCAAACACUGAGCAUCUGCGUAAAGGACACGUGAGGCAAAUCUCGUCAUCAGCAGAGUGCAUGAGCACUGAACGCGCGCAGCCCGAAUUUUCUAACCGUGCG
Long non-coding RNA from Myxocyprinus asiaticus (Chinese sucker), 1441 nucleotides. RefSeq lists it as uncharacterized. The record is from RefSeq and is a predicted model, not a curated record. Lineage: Eukaryota; Metazoa; Chordata; Actinopteri; Cypriniformes; Catostomidae. The transcript has 3 exons.